This 492-nucleotide ribosomal RNA is filed under the name uncultured bacterium. RNAcentral's name for it is "partial 16S ribosomal RNA". It matches the Rfam family "Bacterial small subunit ribosomal RNA", at positions 29 to 507 of the family's 1533-position model. The record is from RNAcentral.
AGUGAACGCUGGCGGUAGGCCUAACACAUGCAAGUCGAACGGCAGCACAGUAAGAGCUUGCUCUUACGGGUGGCGAGUGGCGGACGGGUGAGGAAUACAUCGGAAUCUACUUUUUCGUGGGGGAUAACGUAGGGAAACUUACGCUAAUACCGCAUACGACCUACGGGUGAAAGCAGGGGAUCUUCGGACCUUGCGCGAUUGAAUGAGCCGAUGUCGGAUUAGCUAGUUGGCGGGGGAAAGGCCCACCAAGGCGCCGAUCCGUAGCUGGUAUGAGAGGAUGAUCAGGCAGACUGGAACUGAGACACGGUCCAGACUCCUACGGGAGGAAGCAGUGGGGAAUAUUGGAGAAUGCGCGCAAGCCGGAUCCAGCCAUACCGCGUGGGUGAAGAAGGCCUUCUGGUUGGAAAGCCCUUUUGUUGGGAAAGAAAAGCAGCAGGUUAAUACCCCGCGGUUCUGACGGUACCCAAAGAAUAAGCACCGGCUAACUUCGUG